This 230-nucleotide ribosomal RNA is filed under the name uncultured bacterium. RNAcentral describes it as "partial 16S ribosomal RNA". It matches the Rfam family "Bacterial small subunit ribosomal RNA", at positions 562 to 791 of the family's 1533-position model. The record is from RNAcentral.
AAAGCGUGCGCAGGCGGUUAUGUAAGACAGAUGUGAAAUCCCCGGGCUCAACCUGGGAACUGCAUUUGUGACUGCAUGGCUAGAGUACGGUAGAGGGGGAUGGAAUUCCGCGUGUAGCAGUGAAAUGCGUAGAUAUGCGGAGGAACACCGAUGGCGAAGGCAAUCCCCUGGGCCUGUACUGACGCUCAUGCACGAAAGCGUGGGGAGCAAACAGGAUUAGAUACCCCAGU